GGCAUUAUAGUUCAAGUGGUAGAGCACGUGCUUAGCAUGCACGAGGUCCUGGGUUCAAUCCCCAGCACCUCCU
RNAcentral lists this transfer RNA (73 nucleotides) under Camelus bactrianus (Bactrian camel). It matches the Rfam family "tRNA". Rfam says of the family: Transfer RNA (tRNA) molecules are approximately 80 nucleotides in length. Their secondary structure includes four short double-helical elements and three loops (D, anti-codon, and T loops). Further hydrogen bonds mediate the characteristic L-shaped molecular structure. tRNAs have two regions of fundamental functional importance: the anti-codon, which is responsible for specific mRNA codon recognition, and the 3' end, to which the tRNAs corresponding amino acid is attached (by aminoacyl-tRNA synthetases). tRNAs cope with the degeneracy of the genetic code in two manners: having more than one tRNA (with a specific anti-codon) for a particular amino acid; and 'wobble' base-pairing, i.e. permitting non-standard base-pairing at the 3rd anti-codon position. The record is from Rfam by way of RNAcentral. RNAcentral also lists the same sequence under 2 other names. Lineage: Eukaryota; Metazoa; Chordata; Mammalia; Artiodactyla; Camelidae.